RNAcentral lists this ribosomal RNA (253 nucleotides) under uncultured bacterium. RNAcentral describes it as "partial 16S ribosomal RNA". It matches the Rfam family "Bacterial small subunit ribosomal RNA", at positions 524 to 776 of the family's 1533-position model. The record is from RNAcentral.
UACGUAGGGUGCAGGCGUUAAUCGGAAUUACUGGGCGUAAAGCGUGCGCAGGCGGUUUGCUAAGGGAGAUGGGAAAUCCCCGGGCUUAACCUGGGAACUGCGUUUCUAACUGGCAGGCUUGAGUGUGGCAGAGGGGGGUGGAAUUCCACGUGUAGCAGUGAAAUGCGUAGAGAUGUGGAGGAACACCGAUGGCGAAGGCAGCCCCCUGGGCUAACACUGACGCUCAUGCACGAAAGCGUGGGGAGCAAACAGG